CGGCAGACGGGUGAGUAACGCGUAUGUAACUUACCCUGUACUGGGAGAUAACCCGGAGAAAUUCGGACUAAUACCCCAUGGUAAUAUUGAAAGGCAUCUUUUACUAUUUAAAGCUACGGCGGUACAGGAUGGGCAUGCGUAACAUUAGCUAGUUGGUAAGGUAACGGCUUACCAAGGCUUUGAUGUUUAGGGGUCCUGAGAGGGUGGUCCCCCACACUGGUACUGAGACACGGACCAGACUCCUACGGGAGGCAGCAGUGAGGAAUAUUGGUCAAUGGGCGCAAGCCUGAACCAGCCAUCCCGCGUGCAGGAAGACGGCCCUAUGGGUUGUAAACUGCUUUUCCAGGAGACGAAUAGUCUUUACGUGUAAGGGCAUGACGGUACCCUGGGAAUAAGCAUCGGCUAACUCCGUGCCAGCAGCCGCGGUAAUACGGAGGAUGCAAGCGU
Molecule: ribosomal RNA, 447 nt
Filed under: uncultured Bacteroidota bacterium
Lineage: Bacteria; Pseudomonadati; Bacteroidota
Description: bacterial SSU rRNA
Rfam family: Bacterial small subunit ribosomal RNA
Source: RNAcentral